Molecule: ribosomal RNA, 253 nt
Filed under: uncultured Parabacteroides sp.
Lineage: Bacteria; Pseudomonadati; Bacteroidota; Bacteroidia; Bacteroidales; Tannerellaceae
Description: partial 16S ribosomal RNA
Rfam family: Bacterial small subunit ribosomal RNA
Source: RNAcentral
UACGGAGGAUCCGAGCGUUAUCCGGAUUUAUUGGGUUUAAAGGGUGCGUAGGCGGCCUUUUAAGUCAGCGGUGAAAGUCUGUGGCUCAACCAUAGAAUUGCCGUUGAAACUGGGGGGCUUGAGUAUGUUUGAGGCAGGCGGAAUGCGUGGUGUAGCGGUGAAAUGCAUAGAUAUCACGCAGAACCCCGAUUGCGAAGGCAGCAUGCCGGCUUCCUACUGAAGCUGAAGCACGAAAGCGUGGGGAUCGAACAGG